Non-coding RNA from Callithrix jacchus (white-tufted-ear marmoset), 16296 nucleotides. The record is from RefSeq and is a predicted model, not a curated record. Lineage: Eukaryota; Metazoa; Chordata; Mammalia; Primates; Cebidae.
GAAAGAAAAUGUGUGCUUUCAUUUCAGUGGGAAUAAUGGAGUCUUGGCAUGUCAAACACCAGGCAGCAGCUUCACUGUUAGGGACAACAUGGUGCAACUACCACAGUAAGCCAUAAUGAUGGAAUAGUAGUCAAACUGCUUUGAUCUGCUGUGCCCUCUGGCAAGGGCCAAUUGAUGAUGGGAUCCUGAAAAAUCAUUAAUUCACUGCUUCCUAAGAUGCCGAUUGACAUAUGGAGGCAGAACAAAAUCUAGGUAUUAGGCAGAAACCUUACUCGAGUUGCCAAAUUGUGCCUUGUACCUAAUUCCCAGACCUAAGUCAGUUCAGAGACUCAGCCCCUCUGAGAGGGAAAUUUCCCUCUCAGAUGGAUAUCAUGACUCUUCCUUCAAGCCAGUGUUUCUCAACCUUGGCCCUACGGACAUUUUGGGCAGCGUAUUUCUUUGUUAUGCAGGCUAGCCUGUGCCUUAUGGAUCUGAAAAUGAUGCUGACCAUGACAGGAAGAGGAUGACUAUACUGCAACCCACUUGGGCGUGACUGUAAAAGACUGCUGAAGGGAAAUCCUCCCAGAGGACAGAACCUUUGGUGAUAUAUCCCAUUGUUUACUUCAUGGCUUAAGGCACAAAGAUCUCCAAUGACUUAUGAGCUGUGGCUACUGGACUGGCUGGCUGGUUGGAGACGAAAAAAAUAAUUGAAAAAUUGGUGCUUAGGUGGACUAUGCAUGGACCUUUUGGAAUGGACCCAGAGGGUGGGAAUAUUUGUGUGCCGCAUGUAUGUCUAGUAGAUGGUAUCACGAUGGUGGAGGUUCUCAAAAAUCAGAUAAUCAUGAUAAUCUAUUUUGUGAAUGUCAGUAAGCUUCUUUCUCGAGGUAUCCCAGUGCUUGUUUAGUGGCUCCAUGUGCAAACUGUGCCAGCACGGAAGGAAGUUACCUGUAAGCUAGUAACAUAGUUUUCCCUCACCAAGGCUGCUCCGACUAUACCUACUGCUGAAUGUCCCAUUGACUAACAGCCGAAGUCAACACUAAGCCACCGAUAAGGCACUAUUGUCCAGGGUGACCAGAUGGCCACCUAGUAGUAGCUGCUUGUGUGGACUCUUCCCAACAUAAAAGGAACAUCCCUUUAUCCUCUCAGGAAUAGCUACAUAUUCUGGACAAAAUUUUGCACUGUGGCUGAGUGCUGUGGUUCACGCCUGUAAUCCUAGCACUUUGGGAGGCCAAGGAGGGCAGAUCACCUGAGGUCAGGAGUUCAAGACCAGCCUGGCCAACAUGGCGAAACCCCCAUCUCCACUAAAAAUACAAAAAUUGACUGGGCGUGGUGGUGGACAACCUGUAAUCCCAGCUACUCAGGAAGGUGAAGCAAGAGAAUCACUUGAACCCAGGAGGCGGAGGUUGCAGUGAGCCAAGAUCAUGCCACUGCACUCCAGCCUGAGCAACAGAAUGAGACUCCAUCUCAAAAAAAAAAAAAAAUUGCAUUGUAUUCCCUGCCUGCAGAGCUUCUACGAAUACCACUAUUAUGAAGUUACAGAAUGCCUUAUCUGUUGCCUUAGUAUUCCAUAUAAUGUUGUCUCUGAUCAUAGGCAUAUAUUAUGGCAAAAGAAGUCUCAUGUUCUCAAAAUUCAGUAUAUACCUAGAUCUUGCAGAAGCAGCUGGCUUGAUAGAACAGUGAAUUGGCCUGCCUAACGCUCAAUUAUAGUGUAAGUGGGGAAACCCUGCAAGGUUGAAAUGUUGUCCUACAGGAAGGGGUAGAUGCAGUAAACCAGCAGUCAAUAUUUGCAGAUACCAGCAACACACGGAGGGCAGGUGUGGUGGCUCAUGUCUGUAAUCUCAGCACUUUGUGAGGCUGAGGCAAGUGGAUCACUUGAAGUGAGGAGUUUGAGACCAGCCUAGCCAACGUGGUGAAACUCAAUCUCUACCAAAACACACAAAAAUUAGCUGGGUGUGGUGGUCUGUGCCUAUAGUCCCAGGUAAUCGGAAGUCUGAGGUGGGAGAAUUGCUUCAACCCAGUAGGUGGAGAUUGCAGUGAGCCGAGAUCAUGCCACUGCACUCCAGCCUGCGUGACAGAGCAAGAUCCUGCCCCUCCCCUCCAUGAAGAAUGCAUGGAUGCAUGGAGCUAAGCAUGGUGGCUGAUGCCUGUAAUCCCAGCACUUUGGAAGGUUGAGGCAGCAGGGUCUCUUGAAGCCAGGAGUUCAAAACCAAUCUGGGCAACAUAGAUCCAGUUUCUAAAAAUAAAAUAAAAUAUUAGCAGUGCAUGUGUAGUCCCAACUUCUUAGGAGACUGAGGUGGGAGGAUUAAGUCCAGGUGUUUGAGCUGCAGUGAGCUAUGAUCAUGCCACUGCACUCCAGACUGGGUGACAGAAUAAGACCAUGUUUCUAAAAAUUAAAAAAAACCUUGAAGUUAAAUGUUCAGCUUGAUUUUUACUUUUGAGCAUUGUACAAUUCCCACAGAGUACAUUUACUAAUACAACUGCCAGGUGGAGCCCCUUCUUUUUUCUCAGUAAACUGUUCUCUCCCAAGUAGCUGGGACUACAGAGCAAUGCCAAUAUGCCCAGUUAAUUUUAUUGUUUUGUUUGUUUGCUUGCUUUUGAGACAGAGUCUCCCUCUAUCAUCCAGGCUGGAGUGCAGCAGUGCGAUCUCACUGCAACCUCCACCUCCUGGGUUUAAGCAAUUCUCCACCUCAGCCUCCUGAAUAGCUGGGAUUACAGGAAUGCACCACCACGCCCAGCUAAUUUUUUGUAUUUUUAGUAGAGAUGGGGUUUUACCAUCUUGGCCAGGCUGGUCUUGAACUCCUGACCUCAUGAUCCAUCUGCCUUGGCCUCCCAAAGAGCUGGAAUUACAGGCUUGAGCCACCGUGCCUGGCCUAAUUUUGUAUUUUUAGUAGAGACGGGUUUUCUCCAUGUUGGUCAGACCAGUCUUGAAUUCCCGACCUCAGGUGAUCCACCUACCUUGGCCUCCCAAAGUGCUGGGAUUACAGGCUCAAAUCAUUUUUAAGUGUACUGUUUUAUGGCAUUAAGUAUAUUCAUUGCUUUGUAACCAUCACUACCAUCCUCUCCAGAACCUCUUUCAUCUUCCAAACUGAAACUUCAUGCCCAUUAAACAAUAACUCUUCACCCUCUUCCCAGUGGCAACCAUUCUACUUUCUGUCCCUAUGAAUCUGAUUACCCUCAGUACCUAAUAUAAGUGGAAUUGAACAGUAUUUGUCCUUAUUUCUCUUAGCAUAAUGUCUUCAAGAUCCAUUCAUGUUACAGUCAGAAUUUUCUUCUUUUGAGGCUGAUUUUCCUUUCUCUGUGUAUACCACGUUUUGUCAUUCACUCAACAGUUGAUGAACAUUAGGGUUGCUUCCACUUUUGGCUGUUGUAAAUAACACUGUCAUGUAUAUGGGUGUAUAAAUAUCUGUCUGAGCUCCUGCCUUCAGUUCUUUUGGGUGUAUACCCAGAAGUAGAAUCAUGGAAUUGUAUGGUAAUUCUGUCUUUAGUUUUUUGAGGAACCACCAUACUGUUCGCCACAGUAGCUGCACCAUUUUAUAUUAUACCAACAGUGCACAAGAGUUCCAGUUUCUCCACAUUCUUGACAACAAUUAUUAUUUUCUAUUUGUUUGUGUAUUUCUUUCUUUUUAAAAAAAUAUCUAAAAUGUGUUUGUUGGGAUAGUUUCCCACUCAUCUUGAUUCAGGGUGCUUUUAGUGCUGCUUCCUCCUGAAGAAGAAGCAUCCUUCUGUCAGCCUUGGUUUUCCUCCUGUAGGCUGUCAGAGAAUGGUAGAGGAGUGAUAUGGUUUGGCUAUGUCCCUAUCCAAAUCUCACCUUGAAUUGUAGUUCCCAUAAUCCCCAUGUGUUACAGGAGGGACCUUGUUGGAGGUAAUUGAAUCAUGGAGGUGGUUACCCUCAUGCUGUUCUUGUGAUAGUACUCAUUAGAUCUGAUGGUUUUAUAAGGGGCUUUCUCACCCAUCUUUGCUUGGCACUGCUCCUUCCUUAUACCAUGUGAAGAAGGACAUGUUAGCUUCCCCUUCCACCAUGACUGUAAAUUUCUUGAGGCCUCUCUAGCCCUGUGGAACUGUGAGUCAAUUAGACCUCUUCUCUUUAUAAAUUUCCCAGUCUCUGGCUGGGAACUGUGGCUCACGCCUGUAAUUUCAGCACUUUGGGAGGCCAAGGUGAGUGGAUCACUUGAGGUCAGGAGUUCAAGAUCAGCUUGGCCAACAUGGUAAAACUCCAUCUCUACUAAUAGUACAAUAAUUAGCCAGGUGUGGUGGUGCACACCUGUAAUCCCAGCUACUAGGGAGGCUGAGGCACAAGAAUCACUUGAACCUGGGAGGCAGAGGUUGCCGUGAGCUGAGAUUGUGCCACUGCAUUCCAGCCUGGACAACAGAGUGAAACUGUGUCUCAAAAUGAAUUCAUGAAUGAAUGAAUUAAUUAAAUAUAAUAAAAAUAAAUUACCCAGUCUCAGGUAUUUUUUCACAGCAGCAUGAGAAUGGAUUAAUACAAUAAAUUGAUACCACAGAGAGGGGGUUGCUGCUGUAAAGAUACCCAAAAAUGUGGAAAUGACUUUGGAACUGGGUUUCAGGCAGAGACUGGAACAGUUUGGAGGGCUCAGAAGAGGACAGGAAGAUGUGGGAAAGUUUGGAACUUCCUAGAGACUUGUUAUAAGUAUUUGACCCAAAUGCUGAUGGUGAUAAGGACAAUAAAGUCCAGGCUGAAGUGAUCUCAGAUGAAGAUGAUGAACUGGUUGGGAACUGGAGUAAAAGUCACUCUUGCUAUGCAACAAGACUUGAGAGAGAUGAUUUAGGGUAUCUGGUGGAAGAAAUGUCUAAGCAGCAAAACAUUCAAGAGGAAACAGAGCAUAAAAGUUUGAAAAAUUUGCAGCCUGAUGAUGCAAUAGAAAAGAAAACCCUAUUUGCUGGGGAGAAAUUCAAGCACACUGAAGAAAUUUGCAUAAGUAACAAGGAACUGAAUGUUAAUCACCAAGAUAAUGGAGAAAAUAUCUCCAGGACAUGUUAGAAACCUUCACAGCAGCCCCUCCCAUCACAGGCCCUGAGGCCUAGGAGGCAAAAAUGGUUUCCUUGGCUGGGUCCAGGGACCUCUUGCUGUGUGCAGCCUUGGGACUUGGUGCCUUACGUCCCAGCCACUCCAUCCAUGGCUACAAGGGGCAAAUGGCUCGGGCCAUUGCUUCAAGGGGUGUAAGCCCCAAGCCUUGGAAGCAUCCAUAUGGUGUUGGGCCUGCAGAUGUGCAGAAGUCAAGAAUUGAAGUUUGGGAACCUCUGCCUACAUUUCAAAGGAUGUAUGGAAAUGCCUGGAUGUCCAGAUAGAAGUCUGAUUCAGGGGCAGAGGCUUCAUGGAGAACCUCUGCUAGGGCAAUGAUAUGGUUUGGCUGUGUCCUCACCCAAAUUUUGUCUUGAAUACCCACGUAUUGUAGGACAGACCUGGUGAGAGGUAAUUGAACCAUGGGGCACUGUUCUUGUGAUAGUGAAUGAGUCUCACAAGAUCUGAGGGGUUAAAAAUAGAAGUUUCUCUGAACAAGCAAUGUCUCUCUUUGCCUGCCACCAUCCAUGUAAGAUGUGACUUGCUCCUCCUUGCCUUCUGCCAUGAUUGUGAAGCUUCCACAGCCACAUGGAACUGUGAGUUCACCAUUGAACCUCUUUCCUUUGUAAAUUGCCCAGUCUUAGAUAUGUCUUUAUCAGCAUUGUGAAAAUGGACUAAUACAGGCAGUGUGGAAGAGAUAUGUGGGGUUGGAGCCCCAACACUGAGUCCCCAGUGGGGCACUGCCUAGUGGAGUUAUGAGAAGAGGUCCACCAUCCUCUAGACCCCAUAAUGGUAGAUCCACCGACAGCUUGCCCCAUGCGCCUGGAAAAGCCAUAGACACUAAACACCAGCCAUGAAAGCAGCUGGGAGGGUGGCUGUACCUAGCAAAGCCACAGUAAAAGAGCUGCCCAGGGCCAUGGGAAUCUACCUCUUCCAUCAGGGUGACUUGGAUGUGAGACAUGAAGUCAAAGGAGAUCAUCUUGGAACUUUAAGGUUUAAUGACUGCCUUGUCGGAUUUCAUGCAUGCAUGGGGCCUGUAGCCCCUUUGUUUUGAUCAAGUUGUCCCAUUUGGAAUGGGUGUAUUUGUCCAAUGUCUAUACCCCCAUUGAAUAUAGGAAGUAACUAAUUUGCUUUUGAUUUUACAGGCUCAUAAGCAGAAGGGUCUUGCCUUGCCUCAGAUAAGACUUUGGAGUUGGACUUUUGGGUUAAUGCUGGAAUAAGUUAAGACUCUGAAGGACAGUUGGAAGGGCAUGAUUAUGUUUUGAAAUGUGAGGAUAUGAGAUUUGGGAGGGGUCAGGAGAGGAAUCAUGUGGUUUGGCUGUGUCCUCACCAAAAUCUCAUCCUGAAUUGCAGUUCCCAUAAUCCCCAUAUGUCAUGGGAGGAACCAAGUGGGAGGCAAUUGAAUCACGAGGGCAGUCACAUCCAUGCUGUUCUCAUGAUGGUGAGUUCUCACAAGAUCUGAUGGUUUUAUAAGGGCCUUCCCCCCCUCACUCGGCACUUCUUGCUGCUGCCAUGUGAAGAAUGAUGUGUUUGCUUCUCCUUCUGCCACAACUGAAAGCUUCCUGAGGCCUCCCAAGCCCUGCAGAACUAUGAGUCUAUUAAACCUCCUUUAUAAAUUACCCAGUCUCAGGUGUUUCUCAUUGAGAACAGACUAAUACAAGCACACCACUACUGUGUGUGCAUAGCUAAUGAGCAUGGUGAUUAUAGCAUACAGGGCAUUUCACAUCCCUGAAGUAGCAACUGGGGCUCUGUACCAGGCACCUCUUCUUGUAUUUCCUCUUUUCCUCAUCUGGAGAGGGAUAAAGGAGAUUUUUGCAAGAGCUAUGUUCACAUGGGGAGGUCAGAACCACCAGAAAGACUUUUUUUUUUUUUUUUUUCAAAUAAUGGCCAUUCUAAUCGGGGCAAAGUGGUAUCUCAUCAUGCUUUUGAUUUGCUUUUCCCUAGUGACUAGUGAUGGUGAGCAUCUUUUCAUGUACUUAUUAGCCAUUUAUAUAUUUCUUUAAAGAAAUGUCUAUUCAAGUCCUUUGCCUACUUUUUAAUCAUUUUUUUGUUGUUAAGCUGUAGGAAUUCUUUAUAUAUUCUGGACAUUAACCCAUUAUCAAAUAUAAAAUUUUCUCCCAUUCUGUGGGUUGUCUUUUAACUCUCUUGAAAGUGUCUAGACUGGGCACAGUGGCUCACACCUGUAAUCCUAGCACUUUGGGAGGCCAAGGCAGGUAGAUCACUUGAGCCUAUGUGUUCGAGACCAGCCAGGGCAAUAUAGCAAAACCCCCUCCCUUCUAAAAAGUACAAAAAAUUAUCUGGGCAUGGCGGUGGGUGCCCAUAGUUCCAGCUACUCGGGAGGCUGAGGUAAGAGGAUCACCUGAGCUUGGGAAGUCCAGGCUGCAGUGAGGUGAGAUGGUGCCACUGCAUUCCAGCCUGGGCAAUGGGAGUAAGACCCUGUCUUGAAAAAAAGAAGAUAAAAAAGUAAAAAGUAUGCUCCUUUUUUGUUUGUUUUUUUGAAAUAGGGUCUUGCUUUGUUGCCCAGGCUGGAAUGCAAGUGGCAUGAUCAUGACUCACUGCAACCUCGACUUCCUGAGCUCAAGAAAUCCUCCUGCUUCAGCCUCUGGAAUAGCUGGGACUAUAGGUAUGCACCACCACACUGGGUCCAAAGUGUCCUCCUUUGGUGCAUAAAAGUUUUUUAUUUUCUUUUUUAAAUUUUGAUGAAAUUCAAUUUAUCUAGUUUUUGUUUUGUUGCCUGUGCUUUUAUCAUAUCCAAGAAAUCACUGCCACAGCCAAUGUCAUGAAGCUUUCCCCUAUGUUAUCUUCUAAGAGUUUUACAGUUUUAGCUCUUUGUGUCUUUGGUAAAGUUUGUAUAGGGUGUAAGGUAAGGGUCCAAUGUUAUUCUUUUGCAUGUGGCUAUCCAGUUUCCCUGGCACCAUUUAUUAAAAAGACUGUCCUUUCCCCAUUGAAUGGUCUUGACACCUUUGUCAAAAACAUAUAUGUGAGGGUUUAUUUCAGGGCUUUCUACUAUAUUCCAUUGAUCUGAGUGUCUGUCUUUAUGUCAGGACCACACUGUUUUGAUUACUGUAAUUUUGUUGAGGAUAGAGUUUUAAAUCAGAAGUCCCAGCAAGUUCAAAGGAUUCUAGCAGGAGUUGGCAAACUUUUUUUGGUAAAGGGCCAGAUAGUGAAUAUUUUGGGCUUCACAGGCUAUAUUGUAUGGGCUGUGUCACACCUUCUCUACUCUGCUGUUGUACCACUAAAGCAGCUGUCAACAAUGCAUAAACAAGUGGGUAUGGCUGUGUUUCAAUAAAGCUUACACAUAAAAACAGUUGGCAGGAAGGAUUUGUCACAAAGGCAGUAGUUUGCCAACCCCUACACUAGAAGUCACAGUUUGGCAUUUCCAAAGGCUUAGUGGAAGGCAAUGUGCUAUGAACAGUGGGAAGAAUGAAGCAUGAUGAGGUUGGAGAGGGGCAGGGGCCAGAUUACAGAGUGUUGGAGACCACAGCAGAAUUUCAUCUAUUCUUUACCCAUUUAUUCACCAAACAGCUAUCUAGGACCUACUAUGAGCCAUGGCUGGGGCUCCACAGGAGGUAGACUCUAUCUUAGUUCUCACAGGGCUUCAAUGUAGAUAGGAAGCAUAAGCUAAGUGUUUUAACAUGGUAUCAUAUUUCCCUUCUGAAUCAUGACAGGCUCCUGAUGGGAUCUCUGCUCAGUGCUUUACCCUACUGCUUUAGUGUAUUAGUCCGUUCUCACACUGCUUCUAAAGACAUACCCGAGACUGGGCAAUUUAUAAAGGAAAAGAGGUUUAAUGGACUCACAGUUCCACAUGGCUGGGGAAUCCACAUGUCUUUCUCAAUCAUGGCGAAAGGAAAAAGGCACAUCUUACAUGGUGACAGGGAAGAGAGAAAAAAAGAGCCAAGUGAAAGGGGUGUGGGCGGGGACACAGGCAAACAAUAUCACUUAGUUUAAGUCUUACUAUUUUUCUCUAGGAUUAUUGCAAUAGUCUAUUCAAACAGGUUUCUGCCUCUAGCCUCACCUGCUUCCUACCUGGCAUCUAUGCUACAGCAAGAGACAUUUCUAAAAUGCAAUUCUGAUUGCACUCCUCAGCUUGGAGCUGUGUUUAUGGCUUUUCAUCACUGUCAGAGUCAAGUCUAAUCUGCCAGAAUGAUGUGGAAAGCCCCACAUAACCAGACUAGCUGACAGCCCAAAACAACUAGUCCCUCACACGCACACACACAAGAACAUGUUUGAUCAUGAUUAAACCUGGAGAAACACCGACAUCAAAGAAGAACAUUUGAGAUCUGUGUGAGUUCUUGUUGUUGGUCUUUCUAUUGUAAAGCAUAAUUAUUGAGCAAAACUUAGUGAUAAUCAUAGCAAACUCACAUAGAGAUACUAUGUCCUACAUGCUAACUCAUUUAAUCCUCACAACUACUCUAUGGAGUAGGUAGUAUUACUAUUCCCAUUUUACAAAUUAGGCAACUGAGGCAUAGGAAGACUAACUUUCCCCGGGAUCUCAUAGCUUGCACAUGUGAUAGCAUUAAUAUUCCAACCCAGGAAUUCUGGCAUGACAAUCUGUUAUUAAGCACACUAACAUGCUCCUUUUAGCAGCAUAUAUAUUAAAAUUAGAAUGAUACAGGGAAGAUUAGCUUGGCCUCUGUGCAAGGGCGAUAUGCAAGUUCAUGGAGCAUUUCACAUUUGAAAAGAGAAACCACUGCUCAAGCCUGCAAUCCCAGGACUUCAGGAGAUUGAGCUGGGACAAUCAUUUGAGCCCAGGAGUUUGAGACCAGCUUGGGCAAAAUAGCAAGACCCAGCCUCUACAAAAAAAUUUAAAAAUUCGCUCUGUGUGGUGGCAUGUGCCUGUGGUCCCCGCUACUCCAGAGGUUGAUGUGGAAGCCUUGAGGUAGAGGCUGCAGUGAGCCGUGUUCACACCACUGUUGCCCAGCCUGGGCAACAGAGCAAGACCCUGUCUCAAAAAAAAAUUUAAAUAAAAAUAAAUAAAUAAUACACAUAUGCAAAAAUACACUAAGCCCCCCUCACUUAACCAUAAAUGUAUUCUUUUAAAAUAUUGACUAAAGUUGUGACUUUUGCUUGAUAGUGUGAUCUCUGAGUGGUAGCACCAGAAUCACCUGGGAGCUUAUUAGAAUGCCAGUUCCCAUGCCUGGGGACUGACCCAGGGAAGCAGAAUCUCUGGAGUUGGAGCCCGGGGAUUUGAGUUUCAGCAUGCUCCCCAGGUGACUUCUAAGCCUGAGAAAGUUUGAGAAAUGCUACUCUUAAACAUUUGUUUCCUGAGGAGUAAAGGCCUUAAUGGAGAUAAAGCUUAAGGCAAACACAUGAGUAAUUUUAACCAAAAAAAAAAGUAGAAAUAGGAUUAUUUUUAAUGCAAAGAUUUCAAACUAUGAAAGGAAACAAAUGCUUGCACAGAACAAGAGGUCAUCAGAGGUCUUGAGAAGAUGUUGAGGCCAGAAAAGCACAGGAUACACCUGAAUUCGGAGCAAACCAGUAUAAGUUUGAAUUCCAGCACACCCACAGACCAGCUGUGCACCUUUGACAAAUUGCUUCACUGGAUCCUUUGUUUCUCCAUUCAGAGCUUGAAGUAACAUUCUCCUUGACCCAUAUACUCCAGGAAGGUUGCGAAAAAUCAAGGGGGAUCAUGUAUGGGACAGUGCUUUGUACAGCUGGAUAGUGUGGUAAUCAGGUUUCAUUUCUGCUGUAAUACUUCACAAAAUGAUAUAUGCACUUUCCCUUCUCCUGUUCAGGAAGCAGAUGGGAUUUUGAGUCUUGUAGUUCCCUAGGGAACUCUGUUUUCUAUAGUAUCAGCUGCAGGAGUAGACAGCUAGACUGAAGGAUUACUCCAGGCUUGAAAAGAGAGAGAAAUGGCCUCAUCCAAGAGCAUGGGGCCAGAGAGUUGGCAGAUGAUGGUAGAAACCAGACUAUAUGUCUUUAAACUCAUCUUCAGCCUUACAAUUUCUACCCUCAAAAAGUUUAAUUCAGACCUGGGAUAGCUUAGGCUGAUAUUCAGCCCCAUACAAGCUUACGGCAUACCCUCCGACUGCUGUUGGAUGGGCUGAGUAUGUUAGCUUGUAUUCUGAUCAGUCGGUGCUCACGCUACAAGGGUUAUGGUUUUUCACAACACCUCUAGUGAUAGACCAUAAUAGAAGGGAAUGUUAUCUGAAACUUAGUUCAAACAGAAGAGAUAUCCAUCUGUCUGGCAAUGGUUCCACGGACUCAUGCCAGGCUUCACCCAGGCCUGCACACUCGUCUGACCACUACUUGCAUAGCCCUUCCUUGAUUUAGUGACAAACGGCUUCAGCAUGUUCACUAGAACAACAAAAUUGGCUGGACACGGUGGCUCACACCUAUAAUCCCAGCACUUUGGGAGGCUGAGACCGGAGGAUCGCAUGAGCCCAGGAAUUCAAAACCAGCUUGGGGAACAUAAUGAGAUUCCUAUUUCUAUUAAAAAAAAAAAAAAAGAGAACAACACAAUUUACAACUUACCUACUCUGUCUCCAACACAUCUUUCCAACUAAGAAAAAUACAAGCUACUACUCUAGGAGAACUCCCACGCAUGUGUGGGGCAGACUAUUUCCAGGCUAGGGUUUUUUUUAUUCAUUUUGUGAAGCUGUGUCUCCUGUCAACUCCUGGCUACCAUUGUUUUUUUUCUCCCAUUGCUAUUUCUCCCCCACCAACUGGGGACAUAAUAGGUAUAUUUCCUUUCUAUUCUCUUUUUUCCUCUUGGCUUAUUUCUUCUAGGUUAAAGGCAACUUUCAGAUAAAUGUAUAUUGUUUAGGACAGAGAACAUACCGAAUUUAAAGAACACUACCAGGCUUCUUACAGGAGGCUAAAAUAUAUUCUAUUCCCUAAGCAAACUGAUUUUCAACAAUGUAAUAGAUUCAUAUACCUUAUAACCUUCAAUUCUGAAUGGUAGGAGGAAGAAAUCAGCUCUUUUUCUAGCAUGCAUUAUUAUUAUCAUUAUUACUUUUGGAGAAGGAGUUUCGCUCUUGUCGCCCAGGCUGGAGUGCAAUGGUGCGAUCGUGGCUCACUGCAAACUCUGCCUCCCAGGUUCAAGCAAUUCUCCUGCCUCAGCCUCCCCAGUAGCUGGGAUUACAUGCAUGCCACCACGCCCAGCUAAGUUUUAUAUUUUUAGUAGAGCCAAGCUUUCACCAUGUUGGCUAGACUUGUCUUGAAUUCCUGACCUCAGGUGAUCCACCCACCUCGACCUCCCAAAGUGCUGGGGUUACAAGCGUGAGCCACUGCACCCAGCCAUAUUUUUAAUUAAAGCUGAAAUGUUCAAAGUGACCACCAGCCACACCAGGGGAGGCGUUAUGUAGACAGUUAUCCAAAAAUUACAAAAUGAUUUCUGGCUCUGCUCCAAGUGACCUAUAUAAUCUAAGGAGAAGCCAAACAUCCUCUUUCACUUGGGGGUAAACUGGCCUACCACACCUAUGAUCUGCUUAACAGAAACCCCAAAACAGAGAUAGCCAUCAAGGUAGGUACAACCAGGGAAGGGAUGUUGUCUGUCUUCUCAGGUGCUCAACAUAAAUCAUGUGUUCAGCCAAAUACCUUCAUCCUGCCUACAAUGCUCAACCCCCCCAGAAAAGCAAAAAACCUACAAAGUUGGAGCCCUUUAUACUCAAAGUGUGGUCCACAGAGGUCAGUUGAGGCAUGCAGAAUCAGAGGCCCACCCAGGCCCCCAGAGUUCUGCAGAGCCUGUGUUUUAGCAAGAUCUCCAGGUGAUUCCUAUACAUGUUAAUGUAUGAAAAGUACUGAUUUAAGUGACACAUCUGUUAAAACACAUAUCAAAAAAGAAACAAGAUUUUCUACUAGGUAUGAAGAUUGGAAAAAACGAGACAACUCACCUCAAUUAUGAUGUAUGAUGCUGAAAGCAAAGCAGUCCAAAUCUCAGUGCAGAAAAAGUGGUAAUACAGAGAUUUCUACACUUAAGAGUUUUCCUAGAGAGACUUCAUCCAAGGCCCACGCCUAAUAAACAGACGGAUAUUAGUCCAGAAACUUUCCUUCCUGCCUGCCUGCUAUCAGGGCAGGAGAAAGAAUCAGAGAGGAAACUUGGCAGCCCCCAAAGUAGAUCCUGCAGCUGCUAGAGAGCAUUGAGGCUUUCCGGGUCAACUAGCCUUGAGGAAAUGUCCAGAGUGAAAUUAACAGCUCUACUAACUCCUUGAGUUCCUUUUUUCUCUGCUGCUCACUGAUUAUUAACCACAUUUUUUUCCCGAUCACUGGGAUUCAGACGACCUAAUGCUUCCAGUCAGCAUGGGAUCCUCUUCUGGCAUUCCCAGCAAGGGGAUAGAAGGAGGGGGAAAGUCCCAUGUCAGAGAGAUAUUUUUAUAUCUUUGUCUUUAUGCCACAGAAUUCUGAUGACAGCAUCUCCAACACAAACAGCAACUUUAUUUUCAAAACGGAAGUAUCAAAACCAAUUCUAGCAAAUGGCUUUGCUCUGUGUGUAAACUUCCUGUGCUCUGUUAACCCUGAUGUAACUGAGGGUCUCCUCUCACAGGCCCUGCCUUCUAGCACACAUAAAGAAACAACCAAGCAGGACUAUGACACAUAUUUAAAAAGGAGACGAAUUAAACCAAAACAAAGGCAGAGUAAGAUUUCAGUGCAAAGGCCCAGCAGAGUUUUAAAGAGGACCCAGAAGGCCAUAUAAAAUUGAUCUCUCUCUCUCUCUCUCUCUCUCUCUCUCUGUGUGUGUGUGUGUGUGUGUGUGUGUGUGUAUUUUAAAUAGAGACAGGAUCUUGUUAUGUUGGCCAGGGUGGUCUCAAACUCGUGGCCUCAAGCAAUCCUCCCACUUCAGCCUCCCAAAGUGCUGGGAUCACAGGCAUGAGCCACCAAACCUGGCUUUUUUUUUUUUUUUUUUUUUUUUCCUGAGACAGGAUCUCACUUUGUCACCCACUCUGAAGUUAAUAGGCAUUUUAUAUUCCAAAAACAUGAUAGAUGUCAAAGGAAAAAAUAUGACUUUACUAAGCACUUCUAAUUCCACUGUUUACAGACCCUGAAAAGCUUCUUAAUCCAAACCUUCCCCAGGCCACUGCACUACAGCCUGGACAACAGAGUAGGACUCCAUCUCAAAAAACAGAUAUAAUUUCAAACACACACUUGGAAAUUCACAUUUUAACAGCAAACUUACAUGCAGAUAAAGAGAAGUACACUUUUAUUCUCCUAAGUUACACAGCAAGCUGAAAUGGCGAAUAUUUUAAUAUUCAUUUUAGAUUUAUUCUUAUUUCUAAGUCUCAGAAAAAAAGGAAAAAGGCGACAUAAAACUCAAGCUAUGUCUAUAGCAGUAUCAGUCAAUGUUUUCUACAAAUAAAUUAUUCAAUUGCUUACUCUAUAAGUGAUACACACAUACUAUAAUACUAUAUACAAAACACAAAAUAGAAUUAGCGAUAACAAAUGAAAACUUUAUACAAAAUACUUGAUUCCAUCAGUAUUUAACUUCUGACCAGAAGACUCUUAGCCUGUACAUUCUUUUGUGAUAUUAAGGAAUAAUCACAUUUGUAUAGUAUUCUUAACUGCAGAAAAAUAGGAAUGAACAGAGAGGAGGGCUGAUGAGACAGUUGAAAUACACAUUUAAAAAUAUGUAUACAAUUUAGUAAUGUCAUAUCAUCUGAAUUAAUAUCUCUUGUUUUUGAGAUGGAGUUUUGUUCUCGUUGCCCAGGCUGGAGUGCAAUGGUGCGAUCUCAGCUCACUGCAACCUCCGCCUCCAGCGUUCAAGCAAUCCUCCUGCCUCAGCCUCCUAAGUAGCUGGGAUUACAGAUAUGCACCACCAUGUGUGACUAAUGCAUUUUUGUUAUUUUUAAAUGGAUAAUUAAAUUAUUUUUGACUAUAGUCACCUUGUUGUGCUAGCAAAUACUAGGUCUUAGUUAUUCUUUCUAAUUAUUUUUGUAUCCAUGAACCAUCCCACUUCCCCCACCUCCCCAGUACCUUUCCCAGCCUCUGGUCACUAUUCUUCCACUUUCUGUGACUUCAAUUGUUUUAAUUUUUAGCUCCCACAAAUAAGUAAGAACAUGCUAUGUUUAUCUUUCUGUGCUUGGCUUGUUUCACUUAACAAAAUUACCUUCAGUUCCAUCUAUAUUGUUGCAAAUGACAGGAUCUCAUUCUUUUUAUAUCUGAAUAGUACUCCACUAUAUGUAUAUGUACCACAUUUUCUUUAUCCAUUUGUCUGUGGAUGGAUACUUGGGUUGCUUCUAUAUCUUGGGUAUUGAGAAUACAGCUGCAACAAAUGCAGCAAUGCAGAUAUCUCUUCAAUAUACUGAUUUCUUUUCGAUGUAUACCUAGGAGUGGGAUUGCUGGAUCAUACGGUAGCUCUAUUUUCAGUUUUUUGAGGAACCUCCAAACUGUCCUCCAUAGUGGAGGUAGUAAUUUAUGUUCCCAUCCAACAGUGCACGAGGGCUUUCUUUUCUCCGCAUCCUCACCAGCAUUUGUUAUUGCCUGUCUUUUAGAUAAAAGCCGAUUUAACUGUGGUGAGAUGAUAUCUCAUUGUAGUUUUGAUUUGCAUUUCUCUGAUAAUCAGUGAUGUUGAGCACCUUUUCACAUACCUGUUUGCCAUUUGUAUGUCUUUUUUUUUUUUUGAGACAGAGUUUCACUCUUGUUACCCAGGCUGGAGUGCAAUGGUGCGAACUCAGCUCACCGCAACCUCCAACUCCUGGGUUCAGGCAAUUCUCCUGCCUCAGCCUCCUGAGUAGCUGGGAUUACAGGCAUGCACCACCAUGCCCAGACUCUUCAGGCAGAAGCUCUGGGUCACCUGUUCAGUCACUGCGUGGGCUGCUUCAUUGGGAUCGUGGCACUGAUUGACAAAGUCACAAAUCUCUUGACUAUUCACCAUGAAGUUAAUUCCAUCUGUGGUGAGGACCAGGAAGCUGUCAUCAGCAUGAUGUAACUGCAAUCAGAACCAAAUGCCUAUGAUUAUUAGCUAGACUCUGACUUAGAAUAAUCUUGCUAAUUCGAAUAUUUUUAUCUGUUUUGCUAAGUGGUCAUCUGUGUAAGAGCUUGUAAGCUGAUAUGGUUUGGCCCUGUCCCCACCCAAACCUCAUCUUAAAUUGUAGCUCCCAUAAUUCCCAUGUGUUGUGGGAGGGACCCAAUGGGAGGUAACUCAAUCAUGGUGGUGGGGUCUUUCCCAUGUCAUUCUUAUAACAGUGAAGAAGUCUCAUGAGAUCUGAUGGUUUGUAAAGGGGAGUUCCCCUGCACAUGCUCUCUUUGCCUGCAACCAUGUAAGACAUGACUUUGCUCCUCUUUCACCUUCCACCAUGAUUGUGAGGCCUCCCCAGCCUUGUGGAACUGUGAGCCCAUUAAACCUCCUUGCUUUUAAAUUA